This 4795-nucleotide long non-coding RNA is filed under the name Salvia miltiorrhiza (redroot sage). RNAcentral's name for it is "long non-coding RNA (SMIL_LNC006458)". The record is from RNAcentral. Lineage: Eukaryota; Viridiplantae; Streptophyta; Magnoliopsida; Lamiales; Lamiaceae.
CGUACUUCUAUUCUUCUUCUUCUCUCUGCCACUGCCUUACUCCCUUCAAACCCGGCGGCUACUGUCGCCGCCAGCCACCACUGCCACGGUAUCCCCUCUGUAGGCCUCGCAUCUGCCUGCCUCUCGUUCCCUCUCUAAAUCAUGAAAAAUCCCCAAAAAUCCCUAGCUUUCUCCCCUUUCAAUUUCCGACGAGAUUACCGCCUGAACCACCAUCUUCUUCUUCAGUCGACAGCAACGGUCAGCCGGACCGCCGUCAUCCUCCCUCAUCUCUCAAGCCUCUAUCACCGUCUCCCUCUCGACUCCGAUGAGCAGCCGCUAUGAAUCCCCGCCGCCUUCACCGCUUCCCUCCAUACUAAUAUAAAGAUUCGAUUUUUCCUCUUCCCUUCCAUUUCUUCACUCGAGCUCCAUCCCUGCUCUCCAACAAGACUUCACUCAAAAGGGUAUGUGGAUAUCAACUCUUCCUUUCUGAAUUAAUGAAUCAAUNUUCAUUAACUGACAUUCCGGAGUUCACGGCGGUCGUGACCACGGUUCGAGCCAUUUUACGUGAGCUUCCAUCGUCCCCUGGCCUGUCGUGCCCAUCGUGCCCACGGGCGGGGGCAAUCGACCGUCGUGGGCACGGUCGCUGGUGUCGACGGGCACGAUGGUGCGAAGAAACGACGGGCACGAUGGUGCGACCACUGCUACAAAAAUACACAUACAUAACACUGCAUACAUAACGGGUUUUUUAAAAAACCGUUAUGUAUGAGCGCAUUUUUAUAAAAGUACAACGGUUUUUACAGAAAUCCAUUAUCUAUGUAGUGUUACUCAUAAGCAUAGAUAACGGUACGAAGUAAUUCGUUAUGAAUAAGCGUUAUCUAUUAGGUGCAUACAUAACGGUGUUAUCGAACCGUUAAGAUAACCGUUAUCUAUGAGCGUAUUUUUAUUAAUGGUUGUUUUAACCGUUAUGUAUGAGCGCUAAAUACUGUUAUGAUUACUUUUAUUAUUAUUUUAAUUUAACUUUAAUAAUAUUAUAAAAAUAAAAACCCUAAUUACAUAAUUCACCUUCUUCUCCAAAGUUUGAAGUCUCACCCACCACUCUCUCUCUCUCUCGCCGUACUCCUAUCUUCUUCUUCUCUCUGCCACAGCCUUACUCCCUUCAAACCCGGCGGCUACUGUCGCCGCCAUCCACCACCGCCAUGGUAUCCCCUCUGUAGGCCUCGCAUCUGCCUGCCUCUCGUUCCCUCUCUAAAUCAUGAAAAAUCCCCAAAAAUCCCUAGCUUUCUUCCCUUUCAAUUUCCGACGAGAUUACCGCCUGAACCACCCUCUUCUUCUUCAGUCGACAGCAACGGUCAGCCGUACCGCCGUCAUCCUCCCUCAUCUCUCAAGCCUCUAUCACCGUCUCCCUCUCGACUCCGAUGAGCAGCCGCUAUGAAUCCCCGCCGCCUUCACCGCUUCCCUCCAUACUAAUAUAAAGAUUCGAUUUUUCCUCUUUCCCUUCCAUUUCUUCACUCGAGCUCCAUCCCUGCUCUCCAACAAGACUUCACUCAAAAGGGUAUGUGGAUAUCAACUCUUCCUUUCUGAAUUAAUGAAUCAAUUGGUAGUUAGAUCGUUUAUUGAAGAAAUGGUUCGAAAUCUUGAUUUUGAUGGGAAACCCUUGAAUUGUUGCUGCCAGUUCAAUUGCCCCUUUUUAAGCUGUUGGAUCUUCGUGUUUGUGGCCGAUUAACCCUAAUCUAUCUGUGUAAGAAUUUAGAUGGAUUAUUACCUGUUGUGGGCAGGAAAUGAUUUGGAUGCCCAUAAAUGUGCUAAUCUUACUUGUUUUUUGAUCUUUUUGUGAUGUUAUUCGAGAUGAUAAUGAAGUAUGUUGUCAAAAUAAGUUCUUACUAGUGUGUAUCUAGCUGGAGAGUCAGUUUGUACUAGUUAAUUGCAAAUUAUGUUGGUUAAUGAUAACUAGAUAUCUCUAGUAAUGGUCCAAUAUUUAGUGAAGAACCUGUAUCCUCUGUGACAAUUAGUUUGAAUGUUAAGAUACUUUAGCAUUUGACAUUCUAUUUUUAUUGAGUUAUCCUUUAAAUUUGUAGGUUAGUUUAGAUGAGAUUCAUGUCAAGAUUAAUGGAAAAUUAUUCUGAUUUUGUUGUGUUAUGGUGCUCCUAAUUUCUUACAUGUAGAUUUAUUGGCUCUCUGUUAUAAUUCCAUCUUUUCCUUUAUGAAAUUGAAAAUUUAUGAUUGGAUUGGAUAGGAUAGGAAUCAUGAUUGUAUUCAAAAUUAAUUAAUAAUGCAGGUCACAUCAUUUUAUAGUUACUGGUUAGGGUUUACAACAGUACUGGAAUUCUUUUGGGCGGAUCAAUAUGAUGCUAUGGCUGGCCCAAACAGGAAGUGACAUUGGUUACUUGUCAGCAGAUGAUGGAGUGAGUAAAUUACAGGAGCAAUUUGAGGGAGGGCUUGGUAUUCAAGAAGACGAUAGUGAUGAUGGGCAGAAUGAGUUCAGUGGAGCAGUGGAGUUUGAGGAUCGUAAAGAUUUCAGUGGAAGGAAUGGAGUGGCCGAAGGAAUGGGACCAGAGGUAAAAGAUGAUGACGACAAUGAUGAUGGUGAUGAGGUGAGUAUCUUUGAAAAUGUUGUCAUUACUAUUUUUGAUAGAUCUAAUGAAUAUGGAAAGCUCGGUCAAAGAUGCUUGAGUAUGUGAUUGUUGUUGAGAUAAUAUUUGGUUGAGUGUAGGCACAAAGUGAGCUAGAUGAGGAUCAUUGCUAGUUGACUUGUAGGCACUAUGUUGUAUCACAAGCUAGUAAAUCUACUUUCUUAUUAGCCUUGUGUCAAUUAAAAGUCAUUUAGCUAGAGAACAUUUGAGGAGUGAGCUAUCUAUUCUACGACAGCAUGAACUAACAAAAAAAAAUGUAGAAACCAAGAACUUCUUAAUUAAUUAAAUACUUUAGAUAUUUUUUGAUUGUUGCCAUACAAGUUUAAUGAUGAUUGGUAUGCGCGGUGCUUCUCAAGUGUUCAGUUCAAAUUUUGUACUAUUACGUAAUUUGAGUUAAGAAGAUAGUCCUUUAUGCUUGAGUUUUAUGGGAUUUGUGGCUGAAAUCUUCCAGAAACUGCUAUUGUAUGUCACUGUGGUAUAAUUUUUAGUAUAGGUUUUGUUAGAUUUGCUUUAUUAGCUGCAGUUUAUAAUAGUACGAGAAAUCCAAUCGCUCACAAUUAUCUUGCCACCAUAUGAAGCAGGGAUCUGGACAUUUGUAGUUAACUUUUUAAUAAUUUGAUAUGUGAAGUGUUUAUCCUAUCUGCACUAUAAUAGCUUUUCCUAGACUAAGAUGAUUGGUCUUCCUUAAUUCCUUAAUUUACUAUCUGCACUAUAAUAGCUUUGUCUAUGUGGAAAGCCUACACUUUUUAGAAUUGAGGUUUCUGAUGCUUCAUAGUAUACUUACUAAACUGCUCGUGCAUGAGUUUUUUGAGGAACAUGCUUUCUUUUUCUUUCUUUCUUUUUUACUCGAUUUCUUUGUAUAAUAAUGAAAUACUUGUUUACUUUUUCUUUCUUUUUUACUCGAUUUCGGUCAAGCUUUAUUAGUUGAAAUGCAUCUCAAUGCAGGAAACAUGGAUAAAGAGGAACAGGGUGUUUACUGUUUUAUUAGCUUCAUUUUUGAUGAAAUAGACAAUAUAUAGCUGUAACUUGUAAACCCUCUCUUUCAGAAUUAGAAUUAUAGUAGGCUCUUACAGUUCUAUGACCCGAAAGAUGUAUAUUUACUCUUCUUUAUGUCCUGUAAUGCAAGAUACUGGUUUCAGUGUUGCUGCAAGUUACUUAAACGAUACUCCUGCUCUGAAGAAGGCUGAUAUUGGAAGUGCCGUUCCUUUUCAGAUCGUCGUUCGUCUGUCCGUCGGCAACUCACGCACACCGCACACGGUAAGCCCUCUCUUUCAGAAUUAGAAUUACAGUAGUCUUUUUCUUAUGUUUUUGGAAUUAGAAUUACAGAUUUGCUUGAAUUUGUUUCGAAUUUUACUCUGUUAUUGUAGUUGGGUACAAGGAAUAUAGCUUAGUUUCAUCUUCUUUGCUAAACUUAAUCAUGUGAAGCUUUUAUUAUUAAAUGAAAUAUAAAGUAUUUUCAUAGGACUAGCAGAUAGCUUGAAAUUUGAUAUUUUGGUACUUUGAUUUGGUAUCUAUUUUUUUAUAUUCAUAGCUCUGAUUUCAUGAAGCAUAGAUGGUGUGUAUGAUUUUUAGUUGUCAUUCUAGCUAGGCAUUGACAUUGAACAACGUGAUGAAAUCUUGAAACCAAAUUGCCAUGUUUUGCAGGUGAACUCGGGUUGGCUAUGUUUUGCAGGUGAACUCGCUCGUGUUGGUGGAGGGUAAUCUUCUUCUCAUUUUAACAAUAUAGAUAGAAUAUUGAGAUCUUGAAGAUUACUUAUGUGUUUUUUGUAAAACCUUUUACCAAAAUAUUGAAUCCAAACCAAUGUCUUGCUUUUGAGAAAAUCAUUCAUCAUAUUUAUAUAUCUAUCAAAUUUGAUUUAGAUUCUGCAUUCUAUUAUAUUACUAUGCAUCAAUAUUUGAUAUAACUCACAUGUUGCCGGAUUUUUUUAAUUCUCCAGCUCAUUAGUGUAAUUGAGUUUAUCAUCUUGGCGGAUCAAGUAGAUGGGAGUCGAUGAGCUAUGAGGACUACUACAAAAGAGAAGGCUGAAGCAGAGAACGUCGUUUCAAAUGUCUAGCAAGUUGCGCGCAUUUGUAAUAUUUUUUAAUUAAUCAUAUAGCUAACUAGAAUAUUUGUGUUGUUUUCAUUAUAUUUGGAUGAUAAUGUAUGAAUAUUUCAGAUGUUAUAUAAUAUAUGUUAUCGAUGGCAA